GAUGAACGCUAGCGGCAGGCCUAACACAUGCAAGUCGAGGGGUAACAGGGAGAAGCUUGCUUUUCCGCUGACGACCGGCGCACGGGUGCGUAACGCGUAUACAAUCUGCCUUAUACUGGGGUAUAGCCUUUAGAAAUGAAGAUUAAUCCCCCAUAGUCUCUUAGAGUGGCAUCAUUUUAGGAGUAAAGGUUACGGUAUAAGAUGAGUAUGCGUUCUAUUAGUUUGUUGGUGAGGUAACGGCUCACCAAGGCUACGAUAGAUAGGGGCCCUGAGAGGGGGAUCCCCCACACUGGUACUGAGACACGGACCAGACUCCUACGGGAGGCAGCAGUGAGGAAUAUUGGACAAUGGAGGCAACUCUGAUCCAGCCAUGCCGCGUGCAGGAUGACGGCCCUAUGGGUUGUAAACUGCUUUUAUAUAGGAAGAAACCUUUUCACGUGUGAGAAGCUGACGGUACUAUAAGAAUAAGGACCGGCUAACUCCGUG
RNAcentral lists this ribosomal RNA (486 nucleotides) under uncultured bacterium. RNAcentral describes it as "bacterial SSU rRNA". It matches the Rfam family "Bacterial small subunit ribosomal RNA", at positions 28 to 507 of the family's 1533-position model. The record is from RNAcentral.